RNAcentral lists this unclassified non-coding RNA (1685 nucleotides) under Hevea brasiliensis (rubber tree). Lineage: Eukaryota; Viridiplantae; Streptophyta; Magnoliopsida; Malpighiales; Euphorbiaceae. The record is from RNAcentral.
GUGGGAUUUUAUUGUUUUCAAUAAUAGCAAAUCAAUAAAGACAAUGUAUGUACAUGUAAUUCAUCUUCUUUUAGAUCUAAUAUAAUUAAUUACAAACACUAUAAUGGAGACGAGGAUAGCUGACCCUGCCACUACAAGAGGUGGACAUAGCUUAGAUCCUUUUGAAACAGCUUUCUCAGUUUUAGUUGCUACUUCGCUGAGAUCUUUCUUUUUCUCUACUUCUGACAAUUCUUUCUUCUCCACUUGUUUUUCUUCCGGUUGUUUUAUUUGAUCACUUGCUUCUUCUUUGAUUUCACUUCCUAUUCCAGGACUUUCUUCUUUUCCUUGGUUUUCAUCUUUCUUUGGUUGGUUUGCAGGCUGCAUUGUUUCAGGUUGUUUCAUUUCUUGACUAGGCACAGGUUGGUAUGGUUCUUGAACCUUUGUAUCGGGUUCCUUCUUUUCUGGUUCUUUUGGCAUUUCACCUCCCACUGCUUCUGUUGCCUGCUCUUGUUUAGAUUGAGUUGACAGAUUUUGCUCUUCUGCUUGUUGAGUUGCUUUAUCCAUGACAGCUUCUGUCAAUUCUGCGCUUUCUUUUCCAUGAACUUUUUCUUCUUCUACAAUCUCUGCCUCUGGAAUUUCCUGUUGCUGCGCUUCUCUCUGAGUUUCCGAGGCUGCAGUUGGUUCCUUUUUCUCCUGUUCAGCUUCUUCAGGUUCCACUGUUGGAGUUUCUGGAUGAGUAGCUAUUGCAGCAGGAGGUUUUGCCAUUUCAGGAGGGGCUUCUUUUGAUUCUCUUUGAGCCUCUGGUUUCUCUUGUAAUUUCAUGUUAAUAGAUCUUUCAGGCACUGCUGGUUCAGCCAAAUCUUGCGUUUCCCUGAAUUCGUCUUCAACAAACUUUUCUUCCACAACCCUUUCAAUCUCUUGCUUGUUUUCAAUUUUUGGCUCUUCAGAUUUUUCCUGUAGCAUCCCUCCACUACUGUCUCUUUCAGAAAACACUUGAGCUACCUCUUUUGUUGCCUCAAUCUGUCCUUUAUCAACAACCUGAUCACCUUCUUCUCUUUCUGAUUUUGGUUCCUCUUUAUCUUUUUCUUCAGUAGGAACUUCAUCAGCUAAAACUUGUGGCAUUUCAAGUUUCGUUCUUUCAAUCUCUUUCUGCACAACAUGCUCAAUUUCUUCCUUUUGCUCAAUCUUGGACUCUUUCUUUUCUCCUUCAGGAGGCUUAUCAAACUUCUCUUCCUUCACUUCUUCAAUAUUCAGCCCGCGCAUUCCUUUCUCCAAUUUGGGCAUAAUAAGUGUCAAGCUUGACUCUUCAUCAUUGAACUUGGCCUUGAUUCGAUCUAAAACAAUCCCAUCAGGAAUUCGAAAAACCUUGUUAAAUGCCCUUAACUCCACAUCUUUCUUGUGCAUAAUCCACCCAGAUAACACCAUCUCCUGGACUGCCCUCUUCCCACUGACCGCAAUCUGAUUCCCAUCUUCAUUGAUCUUGAUGUCAAUAUUCUCUCUUCUAAAACCUUUGAGAUGUGCGAUAAGAAUGAACUUUGUCUCAGUUUCUCUAGACAAGAAGAGAGGACCAGUGUGAUCUUUAGCAAUCCGAAGCUCGGUAAGAGAAGUGAUAUCAUCCCUGUUGUGGGUGAUCUUGAGUCCCAAUUCCAGCUCCAUAGCUAUCUUCUUCCUCUUUUCCUUUUUCAGAAAACAGAAAUGAGAUUGAG